AGUGGCGGACGGGUGAGUAACGCGUGGGUAACCUGCCUCAUACAGGGGGAUAACAGUUAGAAAUGGCUGCUAAUACCGCAUAAGACCACAGCACCGCAUGGUGCAGGGGUAAAAACUCCGGUGGUAUGAGAUGGACCCGCGUCUGAUUAGGUAGUUGGUGGGGUAACGGCCUACCAAGCCGACGAUCAGUAGCCGACCUGAGAGGGUGACCGGCCACAUUGGGACUGAGACACGGCCCAA
Molecule: ribosomal RNA, 240 nt
Filed under: uncultured bacterium
Lineage: Bacteria
Description: partial 16S ribosomal RNA
Rfam family: Bacterial small subunit ribosomal RNA
Source: RNAcentral